GGGUUGUGAGGUUAAGCGACCAAGCGUACACGGUGGAUGCCCUGGCAGUCAGAGGCGAUGAAGGACGUGCUAAUCUGCGAAAAGCGCCGGUAAGGUGAUAUGAACCGUUAUAACCGGCGAUGUCCGAAUGGGGAAACCCAGUGUGACUCGUCACACUAUCAUUAACUGAAUCCAUAGGUUAAUGAGGCGAACCGGGGGAACUGAAACAUCUAAGUACCCCGAGGAAAAGAAAUCAACCGAGAUUCCCCCAGUAGCGGCGAGCGAACGGGGAGGAGCCCAGAGCCUGAAUCAGCAUGUGUGUUAGUGGAAGCGUCUGGAAAGGCGCGCGAUACAGGGUGAGAGCCCCGUACACAAAAGCGCACGUGCUGUGAGCUCGAUGAGUAGGGCGGGACACGUGGUAUCCUGUCUGAAUAUGGGGGGACCAUCCUCCAAGGCUAAAUACUCCUGACUGACCGAUAGUGAACCAGUACCGUGAGGGAAAGGCGAAAAGAACCCCGGCGAGGGGAGUGAAACAGAACCUGAAACCGUGUACGUACAAGCAGUGGGAGCCCCACCAC
RNAcentral lists this ribosomal RNA (557 nucleotides) under Salmonella enterica. RNAcentral describes it as "partial 23S ribosomal RNA". It matches the Rfam family "Bacterial large subunit ribosomal RNA", at positions 1 to 588 of the family's 2925-position model. Lineage: Bacteria; Pseudomonadati; Pseudomonadota; Gammaproteobacteria; Enterobacterales; Enterobacteriaceae. The record is from RNAcentral.